UGGGGAAUAUUGCACAAUGGGCGCAAGCCUGAUGCAGCCAUGCCGCGUGUGUGAAGAAGGCCUUCGGGUUGUAAAGCACUUUCAGCGAGGAGGAAGGUGGUGAACUUAAUACGUUCAUCAAUUGACGUUACUCGCAGAAGAAGCACCGGCUAACUCCGUGCCAGCAGCCGCGGUAAUACGGAGGGUGCAAGCGUUAAUCGGAAUUACUGGGCGUAAAGCGCACGCAGGCGGUUUGUUAAGUCAGAUGUGAAAUCCCCGGGCUCAACCUGGGAACUGCAUUUGAAACUGGCAAGCUAGAGUCUCGUAGAGGGGGGUAGAAUUCCAGGUGUAGCGGUGAAAUGCGUAGAGAUCUGGAGGAAUACCGGUGGCGAAGGCGGCCCCCUGGACGAAGACUGACGCUCAGGUGCGAAAGCGUGGGGCAGCAAACAGGAUUAGAUACCCUGGUAGUCCACGCUGUAAACGAUGUCGAUUUGGAGGUUGUGCCCCUUGAGGCGUGGNUUCCGGAGCUAACGNGUUAAAUCGACCGCC
This 528-nucleotide ribosomal RNA is filed under the name uncultured bacterium. RNAcentral describes it as "partial 16S ribosomal RNA". It matches the Rfam family "Bacterial small subunit ribosomal RNA", at positions 355 to 873 of the family's 1533-position model. The record is from RNAcentral.